AGAGUUUGAUCAUGGCUCAGGACGAACGCUGGCGGCGCGCCUAAUACAUGCAAGUCGAGCGGAAUGAUGAAGAAGCUUGCUUCUUCUGAUUUUAGCGGCGGACGGGUGAGUAACACGUGGGCAACCUACCUUGUAGAUUGGGAUAACUCCGGGAAACCGGGGCUAAUACUGAAUAAACCAUUUUGCUUCAUGGCAAGAUGUUGAAAGGCGGCUUCGGCUGUCACUACUAGAUGGGCCCGCGGCGUAUUAGCUAGUUGGUAGGGUAAUGGCCUACCAAGGCGACGAUACGUAGCCGACCUGAGAGGGUGAUCGGCCACACUGGGACUGAGACACGGCCCAGACUCCUACGGGAGGCAGCAGUAGGGAAUCUUCCACAAUGGACGAAAGUCUGAUGGAGCAACGCCGCGUGAGUGAAGAAGGUUUUCGGAUCGUAAAACUCUGUUGUAAGGGAAGAACACGUACGAGAGUAACUGCUCGUACCUUGACGGUACCUUAUUAGAAAGCCACGGCUAACUACGUGCCAGCAGCCGCGGUAAUACGUAGGUGGCAAGCGUUGUCCGGAAUUAUUGGGCGUAAAGCGCGCGCAGGCGGUUCUUUAAGUCUGAUGUGAAAGCCCACGGCUCAACCGUGGAGGGUCAUUGGAAACUGGAGAACUUGAGUACAGAAGAGGAAAGCGGAAUUCCACGUGUAGCGGUGAAAUGCGUAGAGAUGUGGAGGAACACCAGUGGCGAAGGCGGCUUUCUGGUCUGUAACUGACGCUGAGGCGCGAAAGCGUGGGGAGCAAACAGGAUUAGAUACCCUAGUAGUCCACGCCGUAAACGAUGAGUGCUAAGUGUUAGGGGUUUCCGCCCCUUAGUGCUGCGGCUAACGCAUUAAGCACUCCGCCU
This 887-nucleotide ribosomal RNA is filed under the name uncultured bacterium. RNAcentral describes it as "bacterial SSU rRNA". It matches the Rfam family "Bacterial small subunit ribosomal RNA", at positions 9 to 873 of the family's 1533-position model. The record is from RNAcentral.